GGUGGAAUAAAUGGGAGCAGGGGUGACAGAGGGGGCCAAAUUCAGGAGGCGGAACCCCCAAAGACUCAGUUCCCAAUGAGAAUGAAAAGGUGAGGGUGGAGAACGGCUCUGAAUGAGACACCCGAACCAGGACAGCCCCGGGGGCACCUGGGCUUGUAUCAACAGAAACGCCAGGUCAGUGCCUUUACUGUCAUUUAGGCAAGAGAGUCACCCCCAACCUACAUCAGCGAUUGUGUCCACAGAAACACCUUGUCUGCCUAAUGAGAAACAGGAAGCAAAAUCUGAUGGGUGUUCCUGUUGCCCCACAGGGAUCCUGAAAUGCCCCAGGGCACCCCACUUGGACGUAGCUCCUGGAGGCUGAUGGCCUGAGACUGGGGAGACCAGGGAAGCACCUCCCCUGGCUGGCUGGAGAGGCCACCGAGCUGGAAAAUGGACCUGGAGGGAGAACGCACCCUGCCAGUGUCCUGGAGGAAGGCUGACUCCGGCAGAGACGAGUCAGAAAAAAGUAAUGGGAGCCGAUAAGAAAACAGAAGUUAACCCAGACGAUUGCAAAGGGGGACACCACGGCUGGAGGCCUGGCCCAGUGACCUCACAGUCUGUUUACAGCCUGACGGUUUUCCAAGGCCUGCUUCGGACACCACGUACUUCCUCCCCGUGACAAAGGUCCAAGGAACACACUAAUAAAUGGCAGAGCUGGGCCUCAAGCCCAGGUCUGACUCAGAGGCUCAAAGCCACACCCAUCAUCCACACCAGGCCUGAAUGUCAGGGAAUACACAAAGUACGCUGAUCAAUAAGCUGGGGCCAUUUCAGGCUUAACGUGAACGCAGC
Bos taurus (domestic cattle) is the source of this 828-nucleotide long non-coding RNA. NCBI's taxonomy places the organism in Eukaryota, Metazoa, Chordata, Mammalia, Artiodactyla, Bovidae. The record is from Ensembl.